CUAAGGAAGCUGUGGAACUGGUAAGACGACCUUCCGACAAGUCUUUGACUUGUCUCGAGGUAUGAACCUUCCCGUGCUUUUUAGAACAUAGAUGGCACCAGUCAGGUGACCAUCGAAACGUAAUACGCCGGGAUGACAACCCUCACGACCCUAUGGCGAGCUAACGCCGUCCACGUUUCUCUUUCUUCAAGAAGACAAUUCGGCGAAAUAUGCCGAGUUCCGGGAAUUUGCCCGUAGCUCAGUUCGUUAGCACACGCUUGAUAAGCGUGGCCUCGGAAGUUCAAGUCAACCCGAACCCACCAUUUGCAUAUGCGAAUGAGGGUUAGGGAUGAUGGAAUGUGGCUGAUGCGGAUUGUUGCCGAACCUGCCCUUGUCCUGGGUGGUCGAGCUGGAGGGGCUGUAGCUCAGCUGGGAGAGCACCUGCUUUGCAAGCAGGCCGUCAGCGGUUCGAUCCCGCUCAGCUCCACCAAAUCGAUUGGUGUUGAAGCUGACGGCGUAAGUCUUUUGAAGAAAUAAAAGUUUUGCAUCGGCUUAUGGCUGAUGCUUGUUCACCGGUUCCCCGAAUGCCCCCGUAGCUCAGUUGGUUAGAGCACACGCUUGAUAAGCGUGGGGUCGGAAGUUCAAGUCUUCCCGGGGAAUGAGCAAUGCAUAUGCGAAUGAGCCUUACCCUGAUGGAAUGUGGCUGAUGCCGAUUGUUGCCGAACCUGGGCUUGCUUUGAUCCAUAAUCGAGCUGGAGCCCCUGUAGCUCAGCUGGGAGAGCUGCUUUGCAAGCAAACCGUCAGCGGUUCGAUCCCGCUCAGCUCCACCUUAUCGAUUGGUGUUGAAGCUGACGGCGUUUGUCUUUUGAAGCCAUAAAAGUUAAGCAUCCCCUUAUGGCUGAUGCUUGUUCUGCAUACAUUCUGUUGCCGUUCCUUUGGAACGAACAACGAGACGAUGAGCAAUAGACAAUGAGUUCGAUUAAGUGUCGUAUAGGGUUUUUGAUGCGUCCAAGCCGGAACUUAUGAUUUCCGUGGAUGGCCUAGCCAGGUUGUAAACGAGGCCGGGACCGGCGUAUGAAAGGAAACUGGUCUGUUGCCGUUCCUUUGGAACGGGCAACGAGACGAUGAGGA
RNAcentral lists this transfer RNA (1110 nucleotides) under Rhizobium leguminosarum. Its description in RNAcentral is "partial 16S-23S ribosomal RNA intergenic spacer". The stretch from base 394 to 466 matches the Rfam family "tRNA". The record is from RNAcentral. Lineage: Bacteria; Pseudomonadati; Pseudomonadota; Alphaproteobacteria; Hyphomicrobiales; Rhizobiaceae.